AUAUAUGAAUAUUUUAUGUGUGUUAGCAUUUGAAUAAUGUUCUCAAUAAAAAGUACCAUGAAUUAAACUUUUUUCAUAAAAAAGUUCAGUUUAUAUUAUUACUCUAUAUUUUCUCUUGCCAUAGGAGUUUAUUGAAAAAUUUAUGGAUGGACACUUCAGGAGUACUGUUCCAAGGCUAGGUAAUUGAUAUGUGUGUUGUGGUUUGAAUUUUCAGGAACUACUAUAGGUGCACUCACAGAGAUCAGGGUUGCUCAGCAAAAAAGCAGGUGCAAAGAGUUGAGGAGGAUCCAAUCCUGUACAAGACCAUCUACCAUGGUGACCACACCUGCAAGAGCUUGGAAAACCCUCAGAUUAUACUUGACCCUGUGUCUCCUUCAUCUUCUUCCAUGUUCCUUAGCUUUAACAGCUUGGAAAACCCUGUGUUUAACAGCUCUUUUCCUACUCCAUCCAAACAAGAGUGCCCCUUUCUCUCAUCUUCUUUCACUUCAUCUGUCAAAAGGGAGUGCAAGGAGGAGGUUAUUCCUCCCUCAACUUCCUCCAAUGAUUACCUCAUCUCUUCUGACCUCACCUUUGAUGAUUCACCCAGGCAUGUCACUCUAUCAUCAUCAACACUUGACUCAGAGUACAAGGGUGUGGACAUUUCAGAUGUCCUCUAUGAUUCUGCACAACUUGAUCAUGUCUUUGAACCCUUCCUUCAAUUUAGAUAAGACUCAUCAUGUUUUGGUUUUUCCACUUCUUUUAUAAGUUUUAUUUCAGUGAAGGUAAUGCAAAACAAACCGUGUAAUAUAUAUAGUACUUUUCUUAGAAAAUGGUAACACCCAUCUCUUAUUGUCAAUAGUGACAUUUCCAAUGAAUGAGAGAUAACAACAAUGUUUUGAAUUAGUGGGAAUGAACCACCUAGUCAAAUCUUAUUUUCCAUGUAAGAAAAUUUGUUUAUGAAUAAUAGGGCCUGUGUUUUUAUAAAUUUGUGUAACUCAAACUUUCAUUUGUUUUCUCUAGUAAAUGAAAAGUAUAUAACCAUGUUGUGAGAUGAAAGCAACAUGCAGAAAAGUUGUGUUGAGCUCAAAGCAAUGAAUAGAUGGUUGGGGUCACUUUGGAAAGGUUAAGGGUAGAUUCAAUGCAUGUGUGGUUUUGGGUUAGGGUAUAUAUAAAUCCAAGCAUAAAAGGUGAUAGCUAUGGCAUGUUUUUAUUAUUAUUAAGAAUUUGAUAUCCAAUUUACAGGGAGCAAAACUGAGAGUGGGGUCAUGGCUGAGCAAAACUCACUCCCAUCCACUACUUUAUCAAACCAUGCUUAUCAUCGGAAUUGGCUUUGUUGUACAAAAUUACGUCCUCUUGUUAUUCAACAAAGAGAUUUUUGAUAAAAAUAAAACAAAAUUAAAUUUAUCUUCAUUUAAAUAAGAUUCUUUAAAUCUGUGGCUAAAAACUGAAAUGAUGUUUCCAUUGUUCUUAUACAUUAAACUAUAAAAUAAAAAUAAAAUAAAAAGUAAUCCAUCUAUAUAUAUAUAUAUAUAUAUAUAUAUAUAUAUAUUUCAAUAAUGUUGGAAAAUCACUUUUAGAAACGCUUAUAAUUGUAAUGGCAAUAUAAGUUUAACCAAGACAAUAAUUUCCAUCCAUUAAGUCUAAGAGGUUGAAAACAGGAAUAUUAAAAAGGAAUAUUAAAAAGGAAAUUUUAAUAAAGUAGCAUAAUUUUAAAUUUUUGAAUGCAAAAUAUAUAUUUAAAAAAUAUAUAUAUAUAUACGAACAAGUUAUGCCCUGCAAGACAUGACUUUAUUAUAAAUAACUCAAUUUUGUUUAUAGAGUAAUGUUAAAAGAAAGACAACUUUAGUGUUUCUACAAAAGUUACGUUGGUCUAUCACCUAUCACAAUUUUGUUUAAAGUGACAUAUGACUUUAGUGUUAUUUGAUUAAAGAUAAAGAAGUCAUGACGAUAAAAUUUUGGUGUUAUUUAAUUAAAGUUAAAGUUGUGCAUAUGUGUAUAUAAUUUUUUUAUCAAAAUUAAAAAUAUUAGUUUGUUAUUAUUAAUAAACGGUGGACUGAUUUAAUAAGAAAAAUUGGUUAUAACGAAAAUAAGACACUAUAGUUAAGUAUUUAAAAAUUAACAUUUGUGCUGUUAUAAAAAAAAAUAAGACAUAGUUGAUUGUUUUAAAAAUUCACAAUUAUGUAAUUAUAAGAAAAUUAAUAUAUAUUAAAAUAUAUGCAAAUUAAUAAGGUUUGUGAUUAGGGUUGUUAUGGAAAUUAUGUUAGUUUUAUAUAUUUAUAUAUUCAUUCAAUUCAAACUGAAAAUGAUUGGUUUAGUUAUGAGUCAAAUUUCAUGCCUACUAAUUAUAUUUAUAAUAAAAUGGAUAAGUAAAUUUUAAAUAAAUAAAAAAAUAUUUUUAUUGUCUACGUACACAAUAAAAUAUCAUCAAUCGUGACAUUUUUUUUUCCUCAUUAAAAUGUCAUUACAUAAUUUAAGAUACUUAAUUAUUUUAUUUACUCAUUUUUUCACAUGAUAUAUCAUACAUUCAAUUUUUUUUAUCAUUUAAUACACAUACAAUGAAUUAUAUUAAAUUAAUUAAAAUAUUCAAUUAACUAUUUAAAUCAAACCUACAAAGUUACACAGUAGCAAACUUAAGAAUUUUUCAAAUAUUUAAUAUUUUCACUAAAGAAUUUAUUAAAUACAUUACAAAAUAAAUAUAACAUAUUUUUUAAUAUUUCAUUUAAAAAAUAGAAUGAAUGAUUUCAAACAAAUCCUCCAACCAAAAUAAUAUAAUAUUUUAUUAUUUUCUAUGUUUUUAAUAUAUGAUAUUUUGUCAUAAUUUUUAUUUUUAACAAUUAAUUACUUUUCAUAAAUAAGAUUUUAAUAUAAAAAAUUAAUAAAAAAUAUCAAUAACUUUUAAAAUAAAACCGUAUGCAUGAUAAACACUACGUGAAAUUUGAAGAAAAAUAUUAAAACAUGACUUUAAUUUUAAUUAAAUAACAUUAAAAUUGUGUUAGCAUAACACACCUUUAUUAAUAAUUAAAAAAAUUAAUUAAUACCAAUUAUGUUAAGGAAGAUCGUAAUAAAUAUAUUUUCAUAAAAACAAUAAAGUAAUCUUUUUUAAUACUAUUUUAUUAUAGUUUUAAACGAAGUCAUGUUUUGAUAAUAUGGCAUCUUUAAAACGAAAUUAUACCAUACAAAAACAUGACUUAUUUAUAUAUUUAAUUUUUAAAAAAACUGUUCAUUUUUUUAUAAUGUUCAAUUCAAAAUUGCACGAUCAAAUUCCCUAAUAAAAAGGUGGUUGAUACACUCCUAACUAUAGAGGGAUGUAAUAAGAAUACUAUUUCAAGGAAUAAAUUAAAUACAAGGUUUCAAAGUUGCUAUAUAAAAUAAUUCUGACAGUUAAUUAUAGUUAAUGCUGCUACAUAUGAUCCAAAUGCCAACUAUUUAAUUAGGUUUUUAAAUAUGCUGAUAAUGUAUUUUUGUGUGGAUAGUGACACAUGCAUCAUCUGUAUGCACACUAAUUUUUAAUGUAUUAUUUUGUGUGCAAUCGCUUAAUAUUCUAUUUGACAUAUUUUUUUUAUUAAUUAGCAUUUAUUAAAAACUAAAUAAUAAGUGAAGUUUAUUAAAUAAGAAGUAUAUAUAACUCACAAAUUUUAUUUUAUUUUUUGAAUAAAUUUGUUCCGCAUUUGAUUAAUAUUUGUAAUGUCAUCAAUUAUAUGUUAUAUUGAGUGAAUGUAAUAAUUAUUAUCUUUCAAAUAAUAUAAUUUUUUUAAAAGAUUUCUGUUUUUUUACUAAUAAUAAAAAAUAUAAAUAAAAAAGUAUUACAAUAUCUCAACUCUUACACAAAACCUAUUUUCAUAAACUAAAAUUCAAUCACAAGUAUAUAAAUACUCUAAAAAGCAUAAACAUAAAUUAUGCACAUAUUAGAGUAAUUCAUUUUUUACCAUAAUUUCUAUAAAAAAACACAACAAUGACCUAAGUCUACUAUCUUAAAAAAAGAAAACCUAACAAUGCGUGUAAUGUUUGUGGCUUGGACUUUAACAUGAGGUUAUUUUGGUUUUUGUUUAGAACUUUUAAUUUUGGAAAGUAGAGUAAGGUUUUCUAUGUCACUUAAUGUUCUUAUGAAAUGUUAGAUUUGUAGGUUGUUACAGGAAUUAUCUAUUUAUGAUGUUUUAUUAAGUUGGACAAGUAGAAGUAAAUGAUAAUUAUUUAGGAUGUGAUGCAUAAGGUUGGGUAUCCCUCCCUAUUAUUAUUUUAUUUUUUUCUUACUAAUAAAGAAAACCAUACCACAUAAAAAAACAAGAUAAAAAUAAAAAUUGUAAUUAGUAGUUUUCACCAAAUACAUCAGUUUUUCACUAAGAAAACUCCUUCCAACAAGAUAAACAACAUGUCAUCAUAAAACAUAAUUGAGAUUGAAUAAUAUGAAAAAUCUACAAAAGUCUCAUUAUUGUAUCUAGGCUUAACAACCUGCUUCAAGUUAUCUUAUUCUAUAUUUAACAAAAAAAAAAAAUAGAAAUCAAAUAAUCAAAAGAGUUGAUAUACGUUAUUCAAGUAAAAAAAAUAAAUAUAAUAAUGAUUUAAAAUAUAAAGUGGUGAAUUUUGUUUUAAUUUUUGUGGGUGAAUAGAGAUGAAUUGUGUUGAUUGUUAGAAUCUUUUCUAGAAUUAGUUUAAUAUUGCAUUGGAUUACGUGUUCAAAUCUGAAUCCAAAAGUGAAGAGAAUCUUGAACAUUAUAGUUAAAGCUUGUCUAAAGAUAUGUUUUAUAGUCGAACUCUCCCAUGUAUUUAAUUUGUAGAGUGAAUUAGAUAAUCAUAUUAAUUACUCACAUUCCAAAUAUGUUUUAUUUGUUUUUAAGUGUUUAUAUUGAUAUAGAUUAUUGAUUAUUAAAUAUAAUAAUUAACAUUAUCAGAAAUCUAAGCAUACAUAAUAUAAAUUUUCUCCUCCCAAAAUGGUUUAACUAUUACUUAUUAUACAUUGCAUUAUUGAUGUGUCUUCAUCUGCGUUAAUCUUGUUCAGUUGUUUCCUUCUUCAAUUCUGAUAUUGUUUUGGGGGAAUUCGAGAUUGAGCGGAACACUACAAUUUCUCUUCGGUUCGUGUUCGCUGAAGUACAUAAGUGCAACUGUUGCAGAGCGAUUGCGUUGAGGAGAUUGGAACCGCAAGAGAUAGGUGAAAGUGUUUUCUAUUUGAAACUGUUGAAGCAUGUGCUACGCAACUGGAGCGGUGAUUUCCGAAGAAAAUCAAUGUGAAGUCCAGUGUAAUUUAGAUUUUGUUGAAUUGAAGAACUUGGAGGCAUUGGUGGUGAUUUGUGCGUCUUUAACAAUUUUCGUUGAAGCAGUUGUUGAAUGCGUGUCUAAGCGCAUUGCUGUUCUGAAUUGAAAUCUGGAAACAAUUUGCACCAGGAAUGCGUCAGCUGAAUCUGUGUUGAUGUGUAAAUGAGAUCAAUUCUGUUUAGGACUGUUGAAUCGGUUCAAAUCCUAUAAAUAUGCUGGAAUUGGUGCUUAGUUGUUGAAGCAAGUUGGUGAAGGGGCUUUUCUUGGAAUGGUGAUUUAGAAACUGAGUUGAUGAUAGAAUCAAAUUAUCAAACAAAUGGUGAGCAAUUAUCUGUUUUUAAAUUUUGGUUAAAUUGAUACUUGAAUUGCGUAUAUUGAAAUGAUUUUCAGAAGUUUGAAAUAAUUGAAUUGUUGGAAUAGAAAUGAAAUCAGCUGAAAUCUGAUACUGAAGUACAUUGUGUCUUAGAAUCAUUAUGGUGCCAACUGUUUGAUGAAUUGAUUCAUUAGAAUUGGCGCAGAUUUUUGUUUUCCAGCUGUGGAAAUCUAAAAGUAGUUUUAUUUGUUUGCAGCCGCACAGUUUUGGUGCAAAAUUACUGAAUUGAUCUUUUGUUACAGCUGAAAAUUUUUUGUUAAUUCAAUUUUGGUGAUUUGGAAGCAAUGGCUAAUUCAUGUUUAAUUUGGUGAUCUGCAACUUGAAUUUGUUGUUCAGUGUUGAGUGCAACUGGUGUAACUCAAUUGGUUCAAAUAAAAUAGUGCAUGUGAGGCAGCAUCAGGUUGAUUUGGAAGUAAACUAGUGCAGUAAGCGAAUUGAGUUCUGCAGAACUGGAAUUUGCAUGGGACCGUGUAUUCUUAAAUUUUGUUUAUAAAUUUUUUAAUCCAUUAUAAUGCCUAUAUCUAGUUGUUUCAUUUGUGUCCCUACUAUUUUUUGUAGUCUUAAUUUUUAUUUUGAAUCUUUAAAAUUACUAUUCCUAAGUUGUCACAAUUCCAAAUCCAAAUCUCUUUUAGUUUAGUUUUCUUAAUUAAGUUUUUAUUGAUUUUGAAUUUUAUUGACUUUUUAGAUGAAAAUUAUCUUCUAGGACCUUGUUUGUUUCUUGGAUGUAACAAAGAAUUUGAGGAUAUAUAAUAGAUUAUAUUAUAUUAAACCGUUAAGUUAAAAAAUCAUAAUAAAUUAUGCUGCAAUUUUCUUUUAAAUCCUUUUUCACUUGUGGAGAAAAAUAGAUAACAAUUAGAAAAAUGGAUUAUAAUAUUUUAACAGUUUUAAAACUAUUGUGUAAAUAUCAAAAUUAAAUUAAUAUUUUUUUAAUUAUUUAUUUUAUUAUAGUAAAAUCCUAAAUAUUAUAAUAUUAAAAAGUAAUAUAUUAUAUUAAAUAUAAUAUGGUCUGGUUUUUAUAAGUUUGUAUAAAAAUGUAUUUAAAUAUGUUUCUAACAUCAAAAUGUUAAAAAGAAAAAAGGAAAUUCAAAAACGAAAACAAUAAAAAAUAUUUAAAAAUUUGUUUGAAAUAAGAACAGUAUCUAUAAAUAACAGUGCAGCCAUCAGAGAGCGCUAAGCUAGAAUUCCUGGGCAAAUGAUCUUCUUCUCCAAAGAGUUUCAAACAGCAGAUAAAGUAUCCGAUUCAACGAUGCAGACGCUAGAGCAGCUAUACAAGGGUUGGCCGAUCCCCUCCCUUCCACUCUCAUCAAGGUUUGAAUUUGGUGACUCUGAGAAGAAGAACAAGAUUGUAAUGCAAGAAACAGUGAAAGUGGGAGAAUCCAUGGAAAAGAUUAAUAUUUCCCCUUUUGAAGUUGCAUUGAUAGUAGAUGACUACCUCUGCGCCAACAACUUAUUCCAAACACGAGCCACCUUCCGCAUGGAGGCCUCCUCCCUCUUCGCCGCUUCGCCACUCAUUCAGGUUUCACUUCAUCCCUUAACGAUCCACAACUCUUUUUCUCAUUCUCACUGUGCACACUUCUUUAAUUCUUUCAUUUCUCUUUUCUAGCCAUCCAACACUUCCGCUGAUUAUAAUUUGGACAUAAUUCUCGCUGAUUAUAUAUGUUUGAGAAGACAAAAGAUAAUCUUGGAUCAGGAAAUGUGUGCGAUCACUCAAGAAAAAUCUAGAGUUCAGAAGUUGUUGGAUGACAUGCACAAUGCUGUCAAUACUUACAAUGUCUUUCAUAGCCCAAUUCCAAUGGAUGUCUCUUCUGGUAAAAACUUCUUUUCCUGUUUAAUCGUCAAUUCAAAAUUCAGGAAUGGUGUUUUUUGUUUUUAACUCUUAUUUGUGAGUAAUUGUGAUUUUCUUUUGUUAGGUGUGUGUACUGCUACCACCGCCUAUGUACAGAACACAUGCAAUGUACUGCCGCAGCAGUCUACCAAGAGAAAAAAUAGUGAAGCUGAGCCUACAAUUGCAAAACGACCUCGUGGCAGACCACCUGGGAAGAAAAAUCAAUUUCGAGGUAUAAUUAUAAUUGUUUCUGUUGAGUAUACAUGUUUUUGUCAUGUUCUCAAUUUAAUUUUUACACUUACUUUAUCGUCACCCUCAGCUCUAAACACGCUCCCAUUGUCAAGGACUCAACCACAAUCCACCAACUCAUCAAUUCUUGAAACACAGACAACCAAACAAUUUUUUCAGCCUGCUGUUACAACAUGUAAUGAGAAUGUUGUUUCUCAUUGUCAAAACAGCAAAGUUAUGGUUGAUCCUGAAAAGGAAAUUACUUAUAAAGACAGCCUUCACAUUUCUCCUAUCAAUUCAGAUACUAACAAACAAUACAUUGCCUCUCCUAUACCUCAAAGUUUGGAAAAUUCAAUACCAAAUGAGGUUUCCAACCUUCACAAGGAAACACAGAACCACCAGUCAGACAUGAAUUUAUCAAGCAUUGAUUUUGAUUUAGAUGUGGGUUACUGGUCAAACCUCUCAUUUGAAGACAAGAAAUUUUUGGAUGAUCUUUUUUCUGAUUAUCAACCACCUUCAACUCAUUCCGAGGGUAAUGCAUAGAGGAAUUUUUUGAUGCUGCAAUCAAAUCUGACACAAGGGGGACCUGCUGUGCUGUGGAUAACACUCUUCUUUAGUUUAUUAGCUUUUGGUAAUUAGAUAAGGCCAAUACAAUUGAUCUUUCACUGUCUGUACAUUAAUUCUUUGUAAGAAUAUGUUGUACAUGAAUAAAGUUUUCUAAUUGUUUCAUUAAAAGUUUAUUUCUUUUUUCAUUCGAUAACAGAAAUAGAACUGUCUUUCUUCAAUUCGUCAGGCUUUGGUUAAUGUGAUGAAUUUAUCCCACCACUCUCGUUAUAUAUUUUAAAAUUUUGCAAGAGUUUUUAAAAAAUGAAUAAAGCUCUAAUAAUUGGGUUGGAUGAUGAUUUUUCAUACUGCAACUGCUGUAUAUUUCUAGUACUUGAGAAUGAUAUCUUAUUCUUAGAGGAAGACUCUUCUGCAUGGACAUGUUGGCUGGUAAAGAGUACAAUGAAUUUGUUGUGACAUGUGUUGUGUGGACCGCAUUAGAUUAUAGUUAUAUGUUGGAUGUAAUGGAGGAGAUUAUAGAGUUCUGUCAGACAUUGUUGGGGUUGGGGUGUACUUAGUUUGCUGUUGUUUAAUUUGCCAUUAUAAUAGGUAUUCAAUUCAAGGCUAAUUUAGUUAUGACACUUUUUCAAAAAAAAAUAAGUACUUUCCUUAAAAUCCACCCAAAAUUAGAGGGGUAGGCAAAUACGAGAAUGGGGGAUUUGAUCCCCUUUCCGCUUUGAAAUCAUUGAACCUGUUGAAAGUAGUUAUUGAAGAAACAACAUCUUCAUUAGGUGAUAGAAUGAGGUUAGCUAUAUGGAUCAAUUGAUCCCGUCAGCCCCUCUCCUCUUUGUCAAAUGCUAUCUCUUGAAAUAUUCUUCUUUGUUCUUCUACUACUCCUAUGUAAUUGAGAGUUAAAGAAAACACAAUACUAUGUUAAUAAAAUAUAGAAUAUGAGAUAUUGUACCAUAGAUAUGGAGUAAGGUUAUACUUGAAAAGAAAACUAAAAAUAUCAGUUCGUUAUAUAAUCACAAACAACUGUACUGUCUAUUUUGCACUUGCUGUUAUUGACUUUGUAUAAGUUAGUUUUAUUAAUUAGUAUGCAAAUUAGCUACCUUUCUCCUUCGUUCUACUUUUACUAUCCCCUUUCCAAACACGUUUAAUAUUUGCUGAAACUCGAAACUGCUCCGCACCAUUGAUUAGUGUAUCUCACAGCAACAAAAGUGUAAAGAAAUCUGUUGGUAAGUCCAAAAUAUUGUUGUCUUCUCUGCAAUUAGUGCAUUUAUUAAUUAUAUAUGCUAAGCUUUUUCGUUGUUAUCAAUUACAUUUUAAUUAUACUUGAGAAAAUUCUUUCUAUUUAGUGUUAUAAAUGGAUAGAGGAUAAGAUAUGAUGUUAUGUUCCUGGUGUGUUAAUAUGCGACCGAUUGAUUAAUAUCUCUCCGAUGUUUCUUCCUCUAAGAUUUCCCAACAGCAGUGUCAAAGUGAAUGGUUUAUAGUGAUUCACUUACAAUCUAAGUGGUGCGUGUGUCAUUGAGGUAAAUGACAAUGUAAGUAAGAGUAACUAUUGAUACGUACUUGUUUAUUCUUUCAUGUGAUACUGUGAUACUUCUGAUUUUGGAUAUUAAACACCACUCAUUUAUGAUGCAUGGUUACAUUAAAAUGUUGAAACAUGUAGCCUAUAUCCAUUUUUGCUUUUGUCAGACAUAAUAUCAAGCUUCUUUUAAUAACCUUAAAUCAAUUUCCUUGGUGACAUCUGAAGAUUUUUGUAGAGGUUAAUGAGGAUGUAGGAUCUGUAUUUGAGUUAAGAUAUCCAUCAAUCCAUCCAUGUUUCUUUGUACUGAUAAAAACAUAAAAACAUUUCGUUUAACCCAUGAAUUUCCUCUUGAUUGCUUUUAUAGCAUUUUUGUGAGAAGUAUGUAGAAGUCAAUUAGGUUGCAAAUAAGAAUGAAAAAUACCCACAAAUAAAAAAAAUGCUACUCGGAUUCACCCCGAAAAGCAAAUGACUAGGAAGAGAGCCUUCACAAUUCUCCGAUGGAGGCAGAUAGUGACAAAAAAAUGAGGUUAUUGAACUUCAAUGCCUUUCAUAUACUUGAAAGUUUGGAGAAUUCAUACCAGCGGAGAACUGGUCACAUGUAUUUUUCAGAUUCAGGUAUGAAAUUCAUAUUCAAAUUAUUGUAAGUCAAGUAAUUGAUUUUGGUAGUUUGCUUUCUAGAUAACCAUGAUUCAGGGAUUAACUUGGUUUGACCUUUGAGAGUAGUGAAUUUGAACUACAUUGCAUUUAUAUUAUAAUAAUUUAAGUGCAAAAGAGUUACAAAGUCUAUUCAAUCUCAACAUGUUAUCAGAUAUGAAAUCUUCCCUUUUUUGCACCUAGUUUCAACUUAAUAUAACUUGUAAUCUCUUUAGCUUACUAUUAUUUAUAAGUCUUCAAUGAAUAUAAUCAUACUUUAUAAUGAAGAGUGCAUCUGCUGUGAUUACAUCUAGUCCCCGAGGAUACGACAACCCCUUUUAUGAUCUAUAUUACAGUUGAUUCGAUCUACUUGCUGAGAAAGAUGCCAUCAAUGUUUAUCUUGUGAAGUCAUCAACAAUGACUAGACCAUAUAUUUUGCCUCCAAUAGAUCUAGUUCUAGUAGGUCCAAAAAGGUCCAAGUGUAUCAACUCAAGAGGUUUUUGAGUGGAUUUGUCAUUUUUGCUCUUUAAUGAGCUUUUGACUUGUUUUCCCUUCACACAUGCCUCACAAGAAAGAUUAUCAUUGAAUGACAUUAUUAGCAAAUCUGUCAUGAGAUUAUGUGAUGGAGGACCAUCCAACGCCACUCAUAUAGGACAUCUGACUCGUGCCAUGACUAGAAUAAUAGAGAAAGGAGACACUAGUCAGAACAAUUUUCUCAUGUGCUCUAUUAUGACUUCUAGUCAUGCAUAAAUGCAAGUAGUAGAAUACUCAUGAAUAAGACCUGUAUUUUGAUUUCCUUUCAUGAGUACUUUAUAGAUUAAUCAAAGACACUAAAGAGGACAUACACGACCCUCCUUAAAUCACCAAACCUCACCACAGUUAAGCUUGCUUAACUAGGGUUAAGCUAGCUUAAGUAGCAAGCUACCCUCACUCUCUUCCUCUAUAAAUACCUCAAAUUUGGCAUUAUUGAAUGAAGUAUUCAAAAUUUGAAACUCAUUCUCCCAAAUCUCCCUUGCUAGAGAGCCUUAUUGGCCUAGUUAAACCCUAAGAAAGUUGGUCACACACCUCUUUCUUCUUCAUAGCACCUCAAACUCGCUCCAAACGUUACCUUUUCCUCUCAUUUUCGGUGCAUAUCUCCAAUCACUUUCACUGCCACUCCAUGUCUUCAUUCAACCUCAAACAUAGAUUGCAUUAGGUGGAUCAGAGCACACCAAGAUCCCACUGCCAAGCUUCAUCCAGCGAAGUCAAAAUUUACAAAUCUUGUUCUGUUGUUCAACCUUGUUCUUCACGGUUCAUCUUUGUUCUUGCCUUUUCUUCCAUAAUUCUUUGUUUUCCACUGUUUGUAAUCACUUUUCACUGAUUACAUCCUGUUUCCACUGUUUAAAACACUUUUCCACCGAUUGUAUUCACUCAAACCUUAGUCAAACACCUUUCCUUUUUUCCGCUGCAAAACCUCACAAGUUGCUUUUGAUUUUGAUUUGUUUUGCCAUUUUCACGCUUUUAAUUGGUUCUUUUUAUGUUCUAAAUGAUGUUCUACCAUUUAAAAUCUUUCAUAUACAGUUUAAACGAUUAGUUUGAUGUUUUGUUCGGUUCAUUUUGCUUCAUUAUGUUUCCUAUAGUUUCCGCAACAAAACCUUCCAAAUAUAGCAUGUGUUAAUACGAUUUUACCUUAUUUUUCUUCAUUCUUUGUUGUUUUUCUGAGUUUAAUUCUAUGCAUGUGUGCAUUUAGGUCUUGUUUAGUGUUUCUAAUCCUUGCAUGUUCAAUUUCACGUCCAAAUCUUGCUUAGUUUUGCUUAAUUCAGUCAAGUCUUGCUGCUGCAUGCUAAGUGUUUAAUAGUUUGUUUAAAUGCACACCUAGUGUUUAUUAAAAGUUCUUUUGAAUUUUCUGAGUAUAUUCUUCGAUGCUUUUCAUUUUUUUACCUAUUCUCGAGUCUCUUAACUUUCUAUUAGUUCAUUAAUGAAUUUCUUUAAUCCUUUUCCAAUCAUUGUCUUGAAGUUUUGUUCACUUGUGCUUUGUUUCUUUAGGUUUCUGAUUUAAUUUCCAGAAUUGUGUGAUUUUCACUUUGUUUCAAAAUUAAUUCUGAUCUUGUUAUACAUUCAAACCUUGUAAUUUUUUUUCUGCAUGAACCUUAACAUGUUUCCAACAUCCAAUAAAAAAGGCACGUUCUAAUCUCAACUACAAAAAACAUUAAAUAUCACAAAUGCUAGGACGUUUUUGUUGUAUCACACUUAGUUACAGUGCACUUAUAGCUCUCGGUUUUCAAUUUUCUGCACCUAAUUAAUUUGGUGAUUUAGCCUGAAACUUUUACCAGAUGUUGUUACAUACGUUACCUAUCACUGGUUAAAAUUUGAGCUUCAAAUUUGAUUUCACUACACUCGGCCAAUGCUGAACCUAGCUUGCAUAAUUACUCCAAAUUGCUCGUGGAUAUAUUAAACUUGUUGCAUUUAUUUAUCGGUAAAUAUAUAUCCAAUUUGUCUCAAAUUUGUUGCAUAUUACCUCUUGUUGAGUUCAAAAUAUACCAUAAAAAAUUCAGAAUAAAAAACUUUGUGAAAAAAUUCAUAUAAAUUUUGGAACAGUUAGUGCUAGUCCAUUCUAAAAUUUUUGUUUUGUAAUCUUUUCUAGAACAUUUCUUAAGUUCUUUUUUCUUGUGUUUCAUUUAUUAGUAGCUUUAAUUUUUUCUUGUCUUUCUUCACCUUCCUUUUCUGUUUGUCACAUAUUAUUCCUUUUCAGUUUAACUUUUCAUAUUUUUAGCUUUUAUUGCUUUAUUCUUUGGCUUCCAUUAAUGCACAUUUUGGUGAGUUGGUGGUCCUAGAAGUGGUACAUCAAGGAGUGAUUUGGCUCAACAUUUUUUGGGUAAUACUUUGGUCUUCAGGACUCUUUAUCAAGAGGAGAAAAGAAGGAUCAAAGAGAAGCAAAUUCAGAGUACAUUACUUCAAGGAACAAAUCAUACACUUUUAGAAUUUUCACCAAACACAUUAUGCUCAAGCCUUGUACUUUUUCUUUUAGUUUUCAAAAAAAUCACCAAGCACAUUCAGAGCUCAAAAACUUUUGUGUACUUUAAUUUUAUUGUAUCAUUGUCUUUAAUUUUUAGUUGAUUGGAAAAAUGCUCCAUCCACAAUCCCAAUAAACUUUGUAAUAAUUUUUGCUCAUUAAAGUGACAGUAUGUCAGUGAACUCUAAGUUUUCAUUCCACCAUCAUAAUUACUAGUUUUCAUUUCACUCAAAGACAUCCAUUUUCCACACCAAGAAAGCUCCAUCCAACAAGACAAACAACAUGCCAUUAUAACACAUGAUUGAGAUUGAGUACGAAAAAUCUACAAAAGUCUCUAUAUCUAAGCUUAACAGCCUGAUUCAAGUUAUCUUAUUCUAGAUUUAACAAAAAAUAGAAAUCAAAGAACCAAAGAGUUGAUAUACGUUAUUAAAGAUAAAAAUAUAAUAAUGAUUUAAUAUAUAAAGUGGUGAAUUUUGUUUUUAUUUUGUGGGUGAGUAGAGAUGAAUUUGUUGAUUGUUAAAAUCUUUUCUAGAAUUAAUUUAAUAUUGCAUUGGAUUACGUGUUGAAAUUUGGAUCCAAAAGUGAAGAGAAUCUAGAACAGUAUAGUUAAAGCUUGUCUAAAGAUAUGUUUUAUAGUCAAACUGGCAUGUAUUUAAUUUGUAGAGUGAAUUAGAUAAUCAUAUUAAUCACUCACAUUCCAAAUAUGUUUUUAGUCUUCAUAUUAAUACGGAUUAUUCAUUAUUAAAUAUAAUAAUUAACAUUAUUGGAAAUCUAAGCAUACAUAAUAUAAAUUUUCUCCUCCCAAAAUGGUUUAACUAUAACUUAUUAUAUUGAAUUAACUCAUUACAAUGUCUUUAUAGCUAUAACUCAAAAAUGAAAGAUGACAAACGGAUAACUCAUUGACAAAUAGGCUUAUAUUGGAAUAACUGUAUUGGUUUAUGUUUUAUAUAUGUUUUAAUAAAAUCUUUAGGACAAGAAAAAAUCCGUUGGGAGCAGAGUUAGAUAUAGUAGAUGUGAGGGUAAUUUUGGUAUGAAAGAUAGGUACUAUUAACAAAGUUUUGGAAUUGGAGUAUCUUUAAAUACUUCCAUUUAUUUAUUUAUUUAUUUUUCUAAAAAAAAGUCAGCUGACAAAUAAAUAUCCUACUCUAAAUAUUAACUUAUAAUAAUAAUAAUAAUUAACAUAUUUAAAAAUAAAAUUUGAUCAUAAAAAAUAUUUUUGAUAAAAUAAUUACUUAUUAGUAAUUUUAUAUGAUUGGAUAUUUUUAAAGAAAAUAAGUAAAAAAAACAUAAUUUUUUUUUUAAAAGUAACUUAAAAUUACGCCUUAAAAAAUAGAUUUUACAUUUUUUUUUGUAAAAACUCUCCUCUUAGACAUUACUAUGAAACCUGACAUCUCAGCUAGAUUAACACCUCAAGUAACAACAAUCAUCUGUCACCCCCAUGAAAAAUGUAUUAUUAAAAAAAAAAGGAAAUACAAAAAAAUAUGGAGGAUUAGACCAAAAUCCAUAUAUUAACAAAAAUGGUAAAUAGGUAAUCUAUACCUAUUAAUAAAGAACUAUAAGAAAAGACUAGAUGGAAGCCUAUUAUACCAAUAAAAAUACUCUCUAUGAAUAAAGCCCGUUGGAAAUUGAUAUGAAUUGAAAUUGUAAAAUUGUAUAUUCAUGUAUUGUAUUGAACAAAAGUGUACAACUAUUUAUAAUUGUCAAACUAGAAUGAAAGAGAAACAUUCUAAUAACAGAAAAAUAACUAGCUUAUGAUUUUAAUUGUUUUAAGAGUUAACAAACUAACUCUAAAUUUACCUUAUUCCAACACUCUUCCUUAAGCUAAAUUCUGCAACACAUCUAACUCCUAACCACUCUCUUACUUCUUCAAACUUGUCUAGUUUAGAUGGUUUGGUGAAAAUAUCAACCACUUGUUCCUGGUGUUGCAAUGCUUCAGUUCUACCUUUCUUUUUCCAACUUGUUCCCUUAAGAAAUGGAACUUGAUCUCUAUGUGUUUACUCCUCCUAUGUAAGAUUGGAUUCUUUGCAAGGUUGAUGGCUGAUUAGUUGUCCACACAAAGUUUCACAAAAACCACUUAAUUUUUCAUUUUGAAAUUCCCCAUGAUCACUACGAAUGACAUAAAUGUUACUGCAACACUUGUUUUGUAAUCUCUUGGCAAGCUUUUUAAGUGCAUAAAAUGCAUCACUCUUGGAUUCCAAAAAUAAUUUCCAUGUGAACCUAGAGAAAUCAUCAACAAUUACAAGUGUAUAGUUGUUUCCACCAAGACUCGUGGUUUUUGAAGGACCAAACAAAUCCAUGUGCAGCAGUUCAAGGGGUUUGGAAGUUGAAACAAUAUUUUUCAGUUUGAAGGAGUGUUUGAUUUGCGUCCCCUUUUGACAUGCUUCACAUAUGUGGUCUUUCUCAAACUUGAGUUUGGGUAAACCUACCACAAGAUCUCUUGAAAUUAAUUUAUUUAGAUGAUGCAUGUGGAUGUGUGCUUUCCUUCUAUGCCAUAACCAUGAUUCCUCAUGUUUGGUUAGAAGGUAACCAAUAAAUGUAGAAUGUGGGAUAUCAAACAAAUAGACAUUGUUGAUCCUUUUACUAGUCAACAAAACUUCCUGUAAUUUGGGCAGUUGUAUCUCACAUGUGUUGGGCUUGAAGGUUAUUUAAUAACCUUUGUCACACAAAUGGCUUAUGCUUAGGAUGCUAUGCUUUAGACCUUCCACAAAUAGCACAUCAUGGAUCAAGAAGGUAUUAUUGUCUUUGAUGGUCCCUCUUCCAAGAAAUUUCCCUUUGUUGUUGUCCCCACAUGUAACAUGACCUUCUUGCUUAAGGAGUAGAUUGACAAACUUGCUUUUAUCCCUUGUCAUGUGCUUAGAACAACCACUGUCCAGGUACCACAAGUGUUGAUUUGCCAUCAAAGAACCCUGCAUGAAACAAGAUCAAGGAGCAAGAUUUGACCCCCUUUUAAAUUUGGGUCCAUGGGCAUUAACUAAGACUUAGGAACCUUAGAAUUCUUAGGAACCCACUUUAAAACACCUCCGGGAACAGAAAACCUCCUUACUCUGCAAAAUCUAACAGUAUGACCCCCCUGCAAAAUCGUUUUUUUUUUUAAAAACUGGAAAAGGGUUUUGAAACUGAUUUGUUCUUGCUGUUUGGGUUAAAACCCAGUCCAACCUUUCUUAAAACACAAUUUUGAGAUGAAAGAACAGCUUUAAGAUUUGAUUGCCCUUUGGAAAACUUGUCCAUAGUUUUUAAAAUAUAGUGGACCUUCUUUUGAAGAGCUUCACAGUUUUCAAAAAAGCUAGAAUCACACUUGUAAGAAGAGUUUUUGUAAAUCAUUUCCAAAUUUUCAAAACCAGUUUUUGAAUUGUUCAACUCAACUCCUAAUGCCAAUUGUUAGAAUUUAAGACCUUAAACAAGAGGGGGUGAAUUGUUUAUGAAAGAUUUUCGCAAAGGUUGAAGGUGGAGUGAAAAGCUAUGAAGAAUUAAUCAAUUGAAAAAUUUGUUCAACCAAUUAAAAACUGUUUUAAGUUUGAUUCCAUAAAAUCAACCAGUUGUUUUCACGAAACAACUGAUUGUUUAUACCAGCAAAAUUGAAAAACAAUGUUAAAACAGUUUAUGAGUGUAGGGAUAAAGAGAAUAAAACAAAAUGUUUAUACAUCUAGUUCUCAGCUAACCACUAAGAAUUCACUAUGUAAUCAAACCAGAUUACAAAACACACACCAAAAGUGAUGAUCUUGAACCCUUCAAGAACACACACCACUUUCAGCAAACAACACAGUUUUGAGAAACACCUUCUAAAAUCGCACCACACAAGUACACACAUAAAUACAAUGUUUAAGGAAGAAGGGAAUAGAAUACACAUGGGUAAAUCAAAGUUUAAAGUUCAGAAGUACAACACCCAAUCCUAUUCCACACACUUGAGAUGAUCCAAAGCUUUUCAAAUCUUGAAAACAUUUUUGAUUAAUCUCUCUUUGUUGGUUAAUGCUAAGGAACAUUAAACGACCUUUAUAAGACCUCAAUAAAGUAGUCAAAACAGUUAAAUAAAAAAACCAUAAGUUGUUGGAAUCAUUUAAAACAAAUUAAAACCUCUUAACAAAAUUUUGUUAAGGUUUUCACAAAAACAAUCAGUUGAUUUAUCGAAACAACUAAUUGAUUUUGUUUGACACCAAAGCCAAAACAAAGGUAAGCUUUUCCAAACCAUUUUAAAAACCACUAAGUGUCAAGCAACCAGUUGAUUCGACAUUUUAACAGGUUGAAAUUUCACACCCAUUUAGAAAACCCACCUUUUAAAAAAGGUAAAGAUUCAAUUGAGCUUGGAUCAUCUUAAGGAGUGAAUUAACAAGUUUCAAACAACUAAACGAUACACACACAUCAACAGAAUCUUCAAGCUUUCUACUUGAAUUUGGAGACAUCAAAGCAUUUUGUUCAACAUUUACCUCCUAUACAAGUGUGGGGGAUGGAGAUGAACAAGUGUAUCUCGGUAAUUUCAAGACAACUCCUGUCCUAUGAAAAGGAAAGGUUCUUAUAAAGCUCACAUAUGGUAAAACUCUAACUUUUAGUGAUGUGCUACAUGUGUAAUCAGUUAGAGUUAAUUUAAUCUUUGUAGCAUUACUAAGCAAAGUUGGGGUUAAAAUGUCAUUUGAAUCUGAAAAAAUAAUGUUUUGCAGGGAAGGGAUAUUGUGAUCAAGGCUUUUAAGCAUUCUUCUGCUUAUAUUGUUGAUUCGUAUGAUAUAUGACAUGCUAGAUUAGGACAUGUGAAUUAUUCGUAUGUUAUGAAAUUGCAACGACCAGGAUUAAUCAACAUGCAUGACAAACAAAAUAGUAAAUGUGAUAUAUGUGUAGAAUUUAAAAUAAUGAAGAAAACAAGUCAUUUUGUAGAACGUCAAACUUAACUUCUUGGUUUAAUUCGUACUGAUCUUGCAGAUUUAAAACAAACCAAGUCUAGAGGUGACAAAAAUUAUUUUGUAACUUUUAUAGAUUAUUUUUCUAGAUACACCAAAGUGUAUUUAAUUAAACAUAAGGAUGAAGCUUUUGACAUGUUCUUAACUUAUAAAACGGAAGUAGAAAAUCAAUUGAAUAAGAAAAUUAAAAGAAUUAGAUCUAAUAGAGGUGGUGAAUAUGUUUUUUUUUUAAUGAUUAUUGUGUUAAAGAAUGUAUUAUUCAUGAAGUAACCCCACUGUAUUCACCUGAAUCUAAUGGAGUAGCUGAAAGGAAAAAUAUGUUCUUAACGAAAUGAUGAAUGCCAUGCUUAUUGGGUCUAAUACUCCUGAUAAUAUGUAGGGUGAAUCUCUGCUUACUGCGUGUUUUUUGCAAAAUAGGAUACCACAUAAAAAAACUGGUAAAACACCUUAUGAGUUGUGGAAAGGAUAUCAACCUAAUUUGAAAUACCUAAGAGUGUGGGGGUGUUUAGCUAAAGGGAUGUUACCUAAUCAUAAGAAAAGGAAAAUAGGCUCUAAAACAUCUGAUUGCAUGUUCUUAGGAUAUGCGGAAGAUAAUGUUGCCUAUAAGUUUUUUGUUCUUAAUAGUGAUAUAAUUGAACGUAACACUAUAGUAGAGACAAAAAAUGUUGAGUUUUUUUAACACAUCUUUCCUUUAAAGAGUAGUGGUACAUCUUAACAACCUAUAGAUAGUGCUAGUGAUGUCAUGAGUUAGGAGAAGUAAAAGACAAAGAAAGGAAACCUCAUUUGGAGAUGAUUUUUACACUAGUUGAAAAUGAUCCCAUAAGUUUUUUGGAAGCUACUAGUGCUCCUGAUGCUAAACAAUGGGAUAAGGCUGUUAGGAUUGAGCUUGAUUCAAUUAAGAAAAAUAAUAUGUGGACCUUAGUAGAUCUUCCUAAAGGAGCAAAACCCAUUGAUUGUAAGUGGAUCUUUAAGAAGAAGUAUCAUCCUAAUGGAUCCAUAGAGAAAUAUAAGGCAAGAUUAGUUGCUAAAGGUUUUACUCAAAAACAUAACAUAGAUUCCUCUAUCCGUGUGUUGCUAGCCCUAGUAUCUAUCCAUAAGUUAGUAAUUCACCAAAUGGAUGUUAAAACAACCUUUUUGAAUGGUGAACUAGAAGUGGAAAUUUAUAUGACUCAACCUGAAGGAUGUGUAGUUCUAGGUCAAAAGGAAAAAGUAUGCAAACGUUUAAAAUCUCCGUAUGGUUUGAAAUAAGUACCAAAACAAUGGCAUGAAAAACUUGAUAAUGUUUUACUUUGUGAAGGUUUUUCUACCAAUGAUGAUGAUAAAUGUGUGUAUUCUAGAUCUGAAAAUGGUGAAUGUGUCAUUAUAUGUUUGUAUGUGGAUGACAUGCUAAUUUUUGGUACAUGCAAUGAUAUUGUUUUAAAAAAAAAGUUAUUUCUUGGAUCUAAGUUUGAGAUUAAAGACAUGGGUGAAACAAGUGUGAUUCUAGGAGUUAAAAUUAUAAGGAAGGGAGAUAAUAUAUCACUAUCCCAAGAAAAAUACAUUGAGAAACUUUUUAAGAAGUUUGGUUACUAUGACUUUAAGUCAGUGAGCACCCUUAUGAUGCUAACUCUAAAUUAAAGAAGAACAAAGGAUAAUCUAUUUCUCAAACUCAGUAUGCCCAGAUAAUAGGGAGUUUAUUGCAUUUAAUGAUUUUUUCUACACCAGAUAUUGCUUAUGCAGUGGGUAGAUUGAGUAGAUACACUCAAUGUCCUAGUCAAGAUCAUUGAGAUGCGCUUAAGAGACUCAUGAAAUACUUGAGAGGUACAAUGGAUUAUGCCAUUGAAUAUAGUGGAUUUCCCAUUGUGCUAGAAGGGUACAAUGAUGCUAAUUGAAUAUCUGAUUCAGAUAAGACAAAAUCUACUAGUGGUUAUGUAUUUACACUUGGAAGUGGUGCAAUUAUAUGGAGAUCGGUCAUGCAAACUAUUAUUGCAAGAUCAACAAUGGAAUCUAAGUUUAUUGCUCUCGAAAUGGUUGGUAGGGAAGCUGAGUGGUUGAAAAACUUCUUAGCAAACAUUCCGUUAGGAAUGAAACCAUCCCAUUUGUAUCAAUGCAUUGUGAUUUCCAAUCGGCAAUAGCUAUAACUAAAAAUAAAACUUACAAUGGAAAGAACAUACAUAUACAAUUGAGACAUAAUUUAGUAAAGUAGCUGCUAAAGAGUGGAACGAUAUCUAUUGACCAUGUCAAGUCAAAACGGAAUUUGGUAGAUCCUCUAACAAAACCCCUAAGGAGAAAACUGAUUUUAGAAGCAUCGAGGGGAAUGAGACUUAAGCCACUUGCAAACAAACAAGUGAUGAAAACCCAACCUUUGUGAUUGGAGAUCCCAUGAUAAGGUUCGUAUGGGUAAAAACAAGUCACUUGUUAGUUUUGCUAACAUUAAUAUUGAUUUACAAUCAAUUUUGUCCAUUCCUAUUACGGGUGGCAAAGCGGGUCGGCCCGCCCUGCAUAGGCCCGGAAAAUGCGGGUCGAGUUGGUCCGCCCCGCAUGCGAGUUGGCCUGUGGGCUUGCGGGCUGACCCGUUUUUUUUUUUGAAACAUAGAGGAGGAGUGGAGGCAGUAGCGAUGUGCAGCAGCGACGCGACAAUUGCAAGCGAAGCCACGCGGAGUCACUAGAAGAGCGAGCGAUGACACUGCAAAGGAGAGUGUGUUGUGUGUUUGUGUGCGUUUUUUCGGAACAGCGUAACUGUGUUGUGUUUUGAGUGAAAACCUAAUUUUCUUUCACUCAAAGUUGUCACUCCUCCACUGGACCAUUGUUCUCAAGUCAAUUAAUUUUAUUUUUUUUUGCUGGCUAGUGGGCCAGCCUGCCCCCCUGUUGGCCCGCGCGGGCCACAGGUUAUGCGGGGCAGGCUAAUGCGGAUUAGCGGGUUGAAAACGUCAACCCCCCCUGCGUUUUUUAUUGCGGGCCAGCCCGCACGGCCCGCCCCACUUUGCCACCCCCGAUUCCUAUGGUGUGUGUGAAAAGUGGUAGAGACUGCAUUAUUGAGAGGAUAAACUUUGUAGUUACAAUUAUGAGAUAAAAGAGUUUUAACGAAUAACAAAGUUUUAAUAAUUUUCAUAUAUCCUUUAUGGGUGGUAUAUGAUUUGCAGCAUACAAUUGAUGAAAUCACCUAUAUGAGUGUCAAGUGGGGCCGCUUGCAUGAGAUCUUGGCAAGAUCUUUAUAACACUCAUGAAUACCGGGCAAGUGCAUGACCUAGUAAACGUAAUACAUUGAUAACAACAAGAAUAAUAGGGGUGUAUUGUGAUUCAUAAACCAUUAACGUAUAAUAAGUGUAUUGGUUCAUAUAACUCGUUAUACCAACUAUAUUGUGUGUGUUAAGUUCAUCAAUCUAGGAUUGGUUCAUAUAGCUUGAUAAACCAACUUUAAUGCAUUACAUCUUUUUCGAAACCCAUAAUUUUCUUCUUUCUUUCUUUGUCUCUAUGUUUUAUCUUUUGCAAUAUGCGGGGGAUUGUUGUAAAUCAAACCUACAAAAUGAUGAAGAGAUAUUGCAAAAGAGGGUUGCGAACCCUAAAUCCACAUCCGCGAAGUUAAAGGAGAAACGAAAGGGAGUUACGCACAACUUCCCUUCUUUAUCGGGUGGUUCAGAGAACGUUGCAAGAGUCUCGGAUGGUUGGCUCCUUCAUUCACGCAGGUCCUCCUCCAUCUCCGGCGGUCGCUUUGAUUCUGAUGUUCUGGCCGUGCCACUAAUCUAGGUUUUGAAGUUGCGACAGUUUAGUUUUCUCCAUCUAUAAAUAGUGCCUCUCUUUGCUCCGAAAAUCAUCUCACACUCAUACUUCCUCUCCUCUUCUUCUCUUCCUCUCUUCCUCUUCACUUUUAUUCUUUCAUUUUACUUUAUGGUUUUUUGGGUUCUUACUCUUUUAAGAGUAGCUUACUAGUUCUGAUCUUCGGAAAUUUUCGAGAAGUUCCUGUUGUAUCCUAGGGGACUUGCGCAAUACACCGCAAAUAAGUUCUUACAGACAGUGAUCACUCAAGUCUUGAAAAAUCAACUUUGUUCGUGUUUUAAAGUCUCAUUUACUACAUUACCUAACUUUGCCUACAAUUUAACUUAAGUUAAUUUAUUUUUACCUUAUUAUUCUUGUGAUGGUCAGUUAAUACCGAAUAUCAAUAAGUCUUAAUGGUACACGAUUGAAUAUUUUAACUUUUUUAUAAAGUUAACAAGUUUUUGAUUGAGUCUCUAAAAUAUUUAGUAAUUUUCAUACUUUUAAAAUUUGAAAUAAUCUUUUGUAACUAGAAACAUGAAAUAAUUUUAAUUUUAUUCACGAAGUUGUUUUCUCUAGUUUCCAUACAUCCAAAAUUUAAAAUGGUUUUUUAAUCCUAUCAUUAAUUUACGUAAAAUUAACAAAUUGUAGUUUUGAUUUCUAAAUGUUUACUUAUUUUCCAUUUCUCUAAAAUUUGAAACUUUGAUUAUUAUUUUGUAUUUAGCCAAAGGGAGAAAAUUUUAUCUAUCCCUCUGGGUUUUAUAAUUUAGGUAAAGGUCUUCAUGAAAUUCAUAAGCAUCAAAGACACAUAGUAUGGAAGAAUGUGUUGCGUGAUGCUAAUCAAAUAAUGUUUUGGAGUUGCAGAAAGGUAAUCACGUCUUUGAGGUUGCGUCAAGAGUUGUCUCGUAUGCUUUACAAAUUUAUUUUGUUUCUAUUAUUUAUAAUUAAAAAAAUUGAACUUGUGUUGAUAAAAAUGCAAUUUUAUUAAUUUAAACAAAAAAAUAAAUAAAGCGUGUAGUGUAAUUGAUAUUUUUUUUAUCAAUAAUAAAAUAAAAAAAUAGGAACCACCACAGAAAUGGUCCAUUGCAACCCUUAUACAUAAAUACCUAAAUUUCUAAAACAACAUCUACCUACCUACCUACCGUGAGUUGAGUAAGUAUGAUAUCAUGAUCAAACCAAUCAUUGUAGAUUAAUUUGAAAACAUUAGCGCGUGAAAAAUACUAAAUUAGUCGUGUGAUUAUCACAUUAUUUUGUAUUUCAUAGUAAAUGAUCAGAAAAGUUUAAACAUACAAUAAAGAUCUAACAUCACUUUCUAUUAUAUGAAUCAUUCUUAAUAACAUGUGAGUUCAUGAUAUUUAAUCCAUGCAUAUAUAGAUCUAUGAAGUUAUCUUGUGAUUUUUUAAUAAAAAAUCAAAGUAGGAAUCACGUUGACUAAUAAAAGAUAUCAUCCCUCGUUUGUUUUUUUCUUCUAAAAAUCACUUUGUGAAAGUACUUAUGUGACAUAGAAAUCAAGUGAACUAUCAAAAAUGACUUUGAUAUACACAUUGGUUUAGGUAGGCUAUUUUGCAACAAUACAUUUGUUAUGUUUGUGAGGGAAUUUGCAGACAAAGUCCAACUCAUGAAGAACAAAAACCAAGAGCAAGGAAGCCACAAGUACUGGCACUGGACCCAGCAUCCACAGCAUCAAAGGAACAGCAACACAAAGCACCCUACUUCCCACAAGAGCUAAGGUGAAUCCUCUUUCUAAUAUGGUUUCUGUGUAACCCCCUGACAAGAACUCCCCAUAUGCAUUCAUCAGAAAAUUGGCAUCAAUCAGAAACCCUAUGGCCAUGGAACUGAAUAGGAAGCUCAUCACCAAACAAAGUGAUGUUGAUCCAUACUUCAAAACAAAGAUUUCAUCUGACUUGGAUCCAAAAAAUCCACUGCUAAAGAGAUGGCUAGCAUUGUAGGUGUUGUUGCUCAAAGCUGCCAAACCCAAGUUAAUGAGAAUGGUUAUAGAAGCUGUGAGUAUUGUGGACAUAAGAGUGUUCCUCAAGCUUUGCACUGUCAACAUAGCUUUGCCGGAAUCACCCUGCACAUACAUAUGCCAAUCAAAUCUUAGAAACAUCCAAAAGGGUGUGAGAAAUAUAUCAGUUACAUGGUAUGAGAAGAAUAUGCAAUCACCUGAUUCAAGUUAAGACUCCAAGUUGUUCUUUUGAGCUUGUCGAUUCCAUAAGUUGUGCGUGAAGGAUUGUUUUUGAUGGUGUGGCAAAGAUAGACAUGGUAAGUGACUGUAAUGAAAAGACUGAAAGGGAUGAAAAUGGUGUCCAAACAAAGAUCCACUCUCAUGUUUCUCUGGUUUGAUGAAGAAAGGAAGAAGGGGAUGGGAUUGUGGGGUGAGAGAUGAGAUGUGUUUUUAUAUAUUAGAAAAUGGCAUGGAAAAGUGAAUGAUGCAUGAAAUAUUGUUUUUAAUUGUUGUUAGUGCAUGCUACGGCUCUUAUACAAGUGGAAAUCAUAUAAUGGACACCAAACUCGAUGUGGGCUUUGAGUCAUACGUAACUCAUACAUAUAUGCGUCAAUACCUAAUAUGCCACCACAUCAAAUUCAAACCACCUAAUUACAUAUUCAUAUAAUGUGAUACAAAACUAUAAGUUAAAAGAUAUAUAAAUAAGAAUCACUUCUCUCCAAUUUCUAUAAAAAAAAAAAACUAUAACUAUCAUGCAACACAAAACCUUCUAAAUUAUUACAUGCCAAAUCCCACCAAACUAACACUAACACAAACAAAUUAGAUUGAGAAAUAACAAGUCUUUUAAAUUGAGAAAUAACAAGUCUUUUAUCUUGCAAACUAACUUUAUCAUCUGCAGUAUAUAGUUUUAUUUAACUAAAACGUCACUGUUUAUUUUUAGAAAAAAAACACGUGAUUUUUAUAAAUAUACUUUAGAUACAACAAAAGUUUGGUUUAGUUUAGAGUUUUGCAUCAGAUUUCAAAACAUGAUUCAAAAUUCAAUCUAAUUCAACAACUGUUUUUUAAGAAAAAUUAUCUGUUGUGAAUAUUUAUAUUUAAAAUACGAGCAGUCUUAGAUGUAAUUCUUAAAUUCAAAAUCUUUAAAUGAAAGCAUUUUUCUCAUUCUCCUUGAGCUGAAUGUUUUGUCUUAAUCCUAUACAUUGAGAUUUUUCUUUGUUUAUAUUUUUAUUUAUUUCAAAUAUAUAUAAUAAAUUUAACUUAAUUUCAUUCAAUGACUAAUCCAAAAGUUUUCUUUUUUGGCCAUAUAAAUUACUCUUGUAUUAUUAAUGAUCCAUUUAUUGGUUUUAUCAAUUUCUUAAUUACCUCUCACUCUACAUUUUCUGUCUACGUUUUUUAAUUUCAAUUUCAAAAAAAAAUUAUGAAAAAUAAUCUGGUAAUAUAAUAUGUUCCUAAUGUAUUUGGAUUAGGGAGUGAAUUAGAGAGGAUAGAAAAGUAAAGAGAGUGGAAAAUGUUGUUUGAAUAAAGAAAAAUAGAGUGAAAAAUAAAGAAAAUAUUAAAAAAAAGUUUGUGAAUAAUUAGAUUGAUAUAAUAAAUUUUAAAAAAAUAUAAAACAAAUUACCCUUGUUAUUAUAUAUUCAUUUAAUUACAAGAUUUAGUUUUAAUUUUAUUAUUAUUAUUAUUUAUAUUUAUUUUGAUUAUUAAUUUCAUUAAUAUAUGAAUUUAAUUUACUACUAUUACUAUUAUUUUUUAUUUUAUUUUUUAUCAUUAAUAUUAUUAUUAUUAUAUAAAUUUACUUUAUUAUUAUUUUAUUAUAUAAUUUAUUAUCUGUUAUAUAAUAUAAUAAUAAAUUAAGUUCACGUAUAUAAUGUGAAUAAUCGAUGUUAUUCAUUAUUAUCUUAUCUUCUUAUUAAGAUUGAAAUUAUAAAAUAUUAUAUUUUGGUUAAAUUUUUUAUUUUUCACUCAAAAUAAAGGAUGGUUUAAAUGUAAUUAUUUUGCAUUUCCGUCAUUUCAGUUCUAUUUAAAUUAUUUGAUAUAAAUCAGCUUACUCAAAUACAAUUUAAAAAGUUUCUUGUAUGUGAAGGAUAUAAAUUUAUUAAGAAGGAGAGAUUUUUCUCUUUUCUUAAUUUUGCAUUUUAAUUGUGUAUACGGACUGAAACACUAGUUUCUCCUCAUUUUUUAUAUAUUUUCUGUUACCAAUUAAAAAAGGAGAAGAGAUAUUUUUAGUAGAGAUUAAUAAUCCGAUUGAUAUUUUAUAAUAUUUUACAUAAUAAGUAUAAGAAAUUGUAUUAUAUAAGAGUGAAGAAAUUUUUGGUGAACAUUAAUCAUGUAAAAUUAAUUGACAUUAACUUAAAAAAUAUAAAAACUAUUACCAUCCAUUUUAUAAACGAGAGAUUAUUAGGAGUACUAAAUAAUAAUUUUCAUUUUAUUUACAUUAAUUCAAACUGAGAUUAUUAUUAUUAAUAUUAAUAUUAUAUAUAAAAAAAACAUUCUUUUCAAAGUAAAAAUGAAAAAGUUAUAGGACUAUAACUUUUAUUGUUAAAAAUAUUAAAUAAAAAUUAAUUUUAAAAACAAUAAAGAAUUAGUUGUUAUAUUGGUUAAAUUAGUUUGGAAACUUAAAAAAACUUAUUGAUAUAUAAAUUAAUUUUUAUUGUUAUAAAUAAUUUAUAAAUUAAUAUUAUUUAAUUAUUUUUUAGUAUUUUUAAAAGUUUGAGGUGAGAUAACGUGACUUCAUGAAAAUAUAAUAUUGUGAUUAAUAUCUAUUGUGUUUAUAUUAUGGUUUGUUAUAGUGCACGAUGGGAAUGCUAACACUUUUUUUGUUUUGUUUGAUGUGUUCUUAAAAGAUAAGUGAUUGGAAACCAACAAUUUCACAAUUCAAAAUAUACCAAAAUAAACCUAAGUUGAAGUUACUAAUUGAGAUUAAAUUUAAGUAAAGUAACCUAAUGUGGAGAAUUGCUUCCUCAUGUAGACAUGUCCACCACUUCUUCAGCUAUUACAUUCAACCUUGUCUUCUUAUAAAACACCUUUUUGCCUUUUUUUUCAUUGGAUUUUUCUAUUGCUUUGUUGUGUGCUCACAUCAUUUCAAAUAUCUUGUAAUUAAACUUCUUCAUGUUGCAUUUGCUCAAGUUAUAAUGUUUAUGACUUUAUCACUGCUCUAAAACAGGUUAUAGACAAUUCCAAAUGAACUUUGUGGAAGUAUCCAGAUAUUUUAUUUUAUGCCAUAUCUAUUUUCACGUGAAUUAUUGUAGUUAGCUACAAUUUUAUAUUGUGCUGAACCAAUAAACAGUUCUAAAAAGAUUAAAAAAUGAUGAUACAUAUAAAGUAGUUUUAGAAAAUUUAGAAUAAAAAGUUUAGAAAAUUUAGAAUAAAAAGUUUGGAAAAUUUAAACGGAAAAUUUAAAUUAAUUUUAACAAAAAAAGUUCGUUUUAUUUUUUUUCUUCUUGAAAGUAUUUACAUAAAUUUAUGGAAACAUAGCUUUGUACUAACAUAACAUAAAACAUUGAAAAGUCCACUAAUAUAAGUGUGCCCUAAUGGUCUGAGAUAUAACAAAUUGCUUCAUAUAGUUUACGUGGAAUGCAAUGCAUGUUAUAUAUUAUAUAAUGGUUUGUUAUAGUGCACGAUGGGAAAGCUAACAAUUUUUUGUUUUGUUUAAUGUGCUCUUAAAAGAUAAGUGAUUGGAAGCCAACAAUUUAACAAUUCAAAAUAUACCAAAAAAAGUAUAUGAUGAAGAUAACUCUCUUUAUAAGAAUCAACGGAGCAACAAUAAUAAAAAUUAUGCAAAAAUUAUGAAAAAAUGUAAAUAUUUGUAACGUGAAAAAAUCUUUUAUUAAAAACUCAUAAUUACAAGUCAAUCAAUCAUAUUCUGCUAAGAUCAAAUAAGCAUAGUGUUCAGCAGUGGUGUUGUUCAGUAGUUGCUGCAGAUGUCAAACAGAACAGGGUUUUAGUAUCUUUGUGUGUCGCUUGUGUGAAUACUGAUAAACACCUAGUAGGCUAUUUUUUAGAAUUGAAGAAGAAUUGUUCUGCAGUGACUUAGAUGCAAUUAUGGGAGGUAUGGUCAAUUACGUAGGCUCUUAUAUGAUGGAGGAAUGGGUCUUUAUGUUACCAUAAAUAUUACAUUCAGAGUCCAAUGCCGGUAGUUGGUACGGGUUGAUUUUGUAUACGAGUUGAGACACUUCUGAAGUGUUUCUGUUUUAAUUUAUUAAUUCUUUGCUGAUAAAAGAAAAGAAUUUUCCUUUACAAGGUAUUCACCAAUUUCACGAUCUUAUAACAAACUUCAAUUUAACGAUCUCUAAUAUAGACACUUCUUGUUAAUAUGUGUGUAGACUGUCUAUGCUGAUGGGUCGUCCAAUAAGACGGCAUGUGGAGUUGGCAUCGUCUUCGAAGGUCCGAACGACCUCAUUCUCGACUCGGCAUUAAAGUUCGAGUUCAAGGCCAUCAACAACCAAGCCGAGUACGAGGUUAUCCUCACUGGUCUAAACUUGGCGUACGACAUGGGACAUGGGAGCUCGUGAAGUAACGUGUAAAAGCGACUCCCAAUUGGUGGUCACCCCGAUCAAGGAAAAGUUUGAAGUGAAGGAACCUUUGUUGCAAAGGUACUACCAUACAGUUUCCAACCUCAUCGCUUAAUUUGAAAGAGUGACGGUGUAGCACAUCCGUAGAGAAGACAACAUGAGGGCCAACGCAUUGUCUCAGCUGGCCUCGACUAAGAAGAAAAACCACUUGUGAGGUUUUGCAGCGGACAAAAGGAAAGGUGUUUGAUGAAGGUUUAAGUGAAUUCAAUCUGUGGAAAAGUGUUUCUAAACAGUGGAAACAGAAUGUAAUCAGUGAAAAGAGAUUAUAAACAGUGGAAAAACAAAAAUUAUAGAAGAAAAAGCAAGAACAAGGUUGAACAACAGAUCAAAAACUGUAAAUUUUGACCUAGCUGGGUGAAGCUUGGCAAUGGGAUCUUGGUGUACUCUGAUCCACCUAAUGCAAUCUAAGUUUGAGAUUGGAUGAAGACACGGAGUGAUAGCGAAAGUGAUUGGAGAUAUGCACCGAAAAUGAGAGGAAAAGGUGACGUUUGGAGCGAGUUUGAGGUGCUAUAAAGAAGAAAGAGGUGUGACCAACUUUCUUAGGGUUUAACUAGGCCAAUAAGGCUCUCUAGCAAGGGAGAUUUGAGAGAGAAUGAGUUUCAAAUUUUGAAUACUUCAUUCGAUAAUGCCAAAUUUGAAUAGAUAAGGUUUGUUUGAGGUAUUUAUAGAUGAAAAGAGUGAGGGUAGCUUGUUACUUAAGCUACCAUAACCCUAGUUAAGCAAGCUUAACUGUAGUGAGGUUUGGUGACUUAAGGAGGGUUGUGUAUGUCCUCUUGAGAUGCUCUCAAGAUCCUUACUUGUGUGACAAGUUAAUGAGUUUCAAAUUUUGAAUACUUCAUUCAAUAAUGCCAAAUUUGAAUAGAUAAGGUUUGUUUGAGGUAUUUAUAGAUGAAAAGAGUGAGGGUAGCUUGCUACCAUAACCCUAGUUAAGCAAGCUUAACUGUAGUGAGGUUUGGUGACAUAAGGAGGGUUGUGUAUGUCCUCUUGAGAUGCUCUCAAGACCCUUACUUGUGUGACAAGUUAGGGUUUUUAGAGUGUCUUUGAUUCAUCUACAAAGUACUCUUAAAAGGAAAUCAAAAUACAAAUCUUAAACAUGAGUGUUCUACUAUUUACAUUUUAUGCAUGACUAGAAAUCAUAAUAGAGCACAUGAGAAGAGUCUUUUGACUAGUGUCUCCUAUAUCUAUUAUUCUAGUCAUGGCACGAGUCAGAUGUCCUAUAUGAGUGGUGUUGGAUGGUCCUCCAUCACCUAAUCUCAUGGGAGAUUUGCUAAUAAUGUCAUUCAAUGAUAAUCUUUCUUGUGAGACAUGUGUAAAGGAGAAACAAGUCAAGAGCUCAUUAAAGAGCAAAAAUGACAAAUUCACUCUAAAACCUCUUGAGUUGAUACACUUGGACCUUUUAGGACAAAAUAUAUGGUCUAGUCAUUGUUGAUGACUUCACUAGAUGAUUAUUGAUGGUUUCUUUCUAGACAAGUGGAUCAAGUCAACUGUAAUAUAGAUCAUAAAAGGGGUAGUCGUAUCCUCGGGAACUAGAUGUAAUCACAUCACAUGCACUUUCAUUAUAAAGUAUGAUCAUAUUCAUUGAAGUCUUAUAAAUAAUUGUAAGCUAAAGAGAUUACAAGUUAUAUUAAGUUGAAACUAGGUGCAAAAGAAGGAAGAUUUCAUAUCUGAUAACAUGUUGAGAUUGAAUAAACUUUGUAACUCUUCUGCACUUAAAUGAUUAUAAAUGCAAUGUAGUUCAAAUUCACUACUCUGCAAGACCAAACCAAAUUCACUACUCUGCAAGACCAAACCAAGUUAAUCCCUUAAUCAUGGUUAUCUAAAAAGCAAACUACCAAAAUCAAUUACUUGACUUACAAUAAUUUGAAUAUGAAUUUCAUACAUGAAUCUGAAAAAUGCAUGUGACCGGUUCUCCGCUGGUAUGAAUUCUCCAAAAUUUCAAGUAUAUGAAAGGCAUUGAAGUUCAAUAACCUCUUUUUUUUGUCACUAUCUGCCUCCAUCGGAGAAGUGUGAAGGCUCUCUUCCUAGUCAUUUGCCUUUCAGGGUGAAUCCGAGUAGCAUUUUUUUAUUUGUGGGUAUUUUUCAUUCUUAUUUGCAACCUAAUUGACUUCUACAUACUUCUCACAAAAAUGCUAUAAAAGCAAUCCAGAGGAAAUUCAUGGGUUAAACGAAAUGUUUUUAUGUUUUUAUCAGUACAAAGAAACAUGGAUGGAUUGAUGGAUAUCUUAACUCAAAUACAGAACCUACAUCCUCAUUAACCUCUAGCCUCUACAAAAAUCUUCAGAUGUCACCAAGGAAAUCGAUUUAAGGUUAUUAAAAGAAGCAUGAUAUUAUGUCCGACAAAAGCAAAAAUGGAUAUAGGCUACAUGUUUCAACAUUUUAAUGUAACCAUACAUCAUAAAUGAGUGGUGUUUAAUAUCCAAAAUCAGAAGUAUCACAGUAUCAGAGUAUCACAUGAAAGAAUAAACAAGUACGUAUCAAUAGUUACUCUUACUUACAUUGUCAUUUACCUCAAUGACGCACGCACCACUUAGAUUGUGAGUGAAUCACUAUAAACCAUUCACGUUGACACUGUUGUUGGGAAAUCUUAGAGGAAGAAACAUCGGAGAGAUAUUAAUCAAUCGGUCACAUAUUAACACACCAGGAACAUAACAUCAUAUCUUAUCCUCUAUCCAUUUAUAACACUAAAUAGAAAGAAUUUUCUCAAGUAUAAUUAAAAUGUAAUUGAUAACAAUUGAAAAGCUUAGCAUAUAUAAUUAAUAAAUGCACUAAUUGCAGAGAAGACAACAAUAUUUUGGACUUACCAACAGAUUUCUUUACAAUUUUGUUGCUGUGAGAUACACUAAUCAAUGGUGCGGAGCAGUUUCGAGUUUCAGCAAAUAUUAAACGUGUUUGGAAAAGGGAUAGUAAAAGUAGAACGAAGGAGAAAGGUAGCUAAUUUGCAUAUUAAUUAAUAAAAUUAACUUAUACAAAGUCAAUAACAGCAAGUGCAAAAUAGACAGUACAGUUGUUUGUGAUUAUAUAACGAACUGAUAAUUGUUAGCUCUGGCUCUUAGGUCAUUCGACAUUAUCUAUUAGUUUAUAAUAUAAGUCAUACUCUCCAUCAAGCAAUUGUAGUUUUACAUGAAAGUAAGACAAAUACUUCAUAAACAAAAUAUUGUAGUGUGCAGGGAUCCACACAAAACAUGUCACAACAAAUUCAAUGUACUCUUUACCAGCAAACAUGUCCAUGCAGAAGAAUCUUCCUCUAAUAAUAAGACAUCAUUCUCAAGUACUAGAAAUAUGCAACAGUAGUGUGAAAAAUCCACCAACCCAGUCAAAUCAACCAACUCAGAUAUCUCAGUACCAAAGUUCUUAUCAAAUCAAUCCCUGGUGAACAUCUUUUAUGGCCAGAUUUCUCAAAGUCAAUUUCAAACUAACCCACGGUUAAAAAAAAAUCAAUAAUCUAAUCCAAAUUAAAAUUUGCAAUAACAAUGAUAUCAGUGAUGAUGAUAAACAAUCACAUGCUCAUUAAUUACUUCUAUAAAACUAAUGAACCAAAAGGUUACAAGUUACAACCCACAAAUUAAACAAUUGCUUUAUUCACUUCUAAAAAAACUCUUUGCAACAUUUUAUUUGAACUUUUUUGCUAAUUCAAAUCGCAAGUAACUAAAAUCAAAUUUGAAGACGACAGUUCUAUUUCUGUUAUAGAAAUAAACAAGUAAAAGUUUUCAACAAUUUGAAAACUUUAUUCAUUAGGAGGUAGAACAUAUUCCUACUAGAAAGAGAUAAUAUACAAUCAGUGGAAGAUAGAUCAUAUUGGCUUAUCUAUAAUUAAUUUCAUGGUAAACAUCUAACUUCCGAGAAUUUCUUUCCUUUACAUUCUGUUGAAAGUAUCAGGCAAGAAUGACAAUUCAUUCAACAGUGUUUCUGAAGUAUUCCACCCACCGUAAUCAAUGUCUAACUAGUUGUAUACAAAAGGUUUCGCCAAAAUAGAGAAGCCUGAAAUACCAAGAGCAAAAUGUGAGACAUAAAAAGGUCCUACAAAAAAUGUAAACCUUACAAAUGAAAAACAACACUAAUUGUUAGAGAAAAUACAAGUAAAAAUUCUAAAUUCUUAAAAGAUUAAUGUUAAAAGGUUAUGUUUUCCUCCUUAAUGAUCUUUACUAGUAAAAAACUAAAAACACUUGAAAAUCUUAUAUCUUUGUCUCAUCAUGUGACAGUCUUACCCAAAAAUUAAAGCAAACUUGUAGUUAAAAGCAUAAAUGAGCUAAGCUUGGUCAAGCUUGCACCACAAAUGCAGUAUUAAUAUGGUGGUCUAUUUCUCAUGGGAUCAAUAGAUUUGAAAAACAAAAGAAACUUGAAAUAGCUUGGAUUUACCAUGAAGAAGAUCCCGUGUCAUUUUCCAUGUAGUCAUAAAACAGGAUGCGGCCAUAAGGGGACAAAGAGUAGCCUUCCUGUGCUUAAUGCUGCCAACUCGAGUUCAGUUUCAAAUUCUUUAUAGUGAGAAUAGAUCCUCUUCAUAGGCACUGACUUGCAAUUCCUGAGAAAACAUUUAUACACUGUAGACGCACCAUAUAUACUUCUCACUCAUGUUUUCUGUCAUCCUCAUGAUAUCUUCGUACACAUGAGAUGUCAUAUUCAUAUGAAGAAUCGCUAGUUUUGGAUAUCAGUAAUUAACUGUCAAUUCCAUAGUUCAUGAAGUCAGUAACUUGUCAAAUUAUGUUUCAAUAUGUAGGGUGGGACAUAAUACUGUCAGAAUAUAAACCUUAACAAAAUCCUAUACAAUUAAAAGUUGGCAUGUAAACUUUAAUGCAUAAAAUUACACAAUCCAAUCAACUUCUGAUUUUUUAACUUAGGAUUGAAGAAGUAAUAUAAACUACAUGACUAAAUAGCACAUGUGUGCAGCAAUGAUCUAAAAUAUAAGACUCCCAAGUUAGAAGCAAAACUGAAAUCUGCAUAAUCAUUAAACAACUAGAAAUAUAGAUUGAGAACUGUACCUAACUUCUUUCUCUACACAAGCAAUCACCAUGACAAGUUAUUACAGUCAAAUUCUCCUCCCAAUCACCAAGCAUGCCAUUAGAUCCAAACUGAAAUUGCAUCUAAAAGAAUGGCUUUACAUAAUCUACCACAAUCCCAUUUGAAAACUAGCACUUCGAAGUUCAAUCAUGGGUGAAGCACUGGCCAACUAUACCUUCAAAUGAACUUUUAAUUUCAUUCUCAAGUACUAGAAAUAUGCAACAGUUGCAGUAUGAAAAAUCAUUCUCCAAACCAAGUAUUAGAGCUUUAUUCAUUUUUAAAAAACUCUUGCAAAAUUUUAAAAUAUAUAACGAGAGUGGUGGGAUAAAUUCAUUACAUUAACCAAAGCCUGAACAAUUGAAGAAAGACAGUCCUAUUUCUGUUAUCGAAAGAUAAAAAGAAAUAAACUUUUAAUGAAACAAUUUGAAAACUUUAUUCAUGUACAACAUAUUCUUACAAAGAACUAAUGUACAGACAGUGAAAGAUCGACUUAUUGGCCUUAUCUAAUGAUCAAAAGCUAUUAAACUAUAUUGGCCUUAUCUAAUUACCAAAAGCUAAUAAACUAAAGAAUAGUGUUAUCCACAGCACAGCAGGUCCCCUUUGUGUCAGAUUGCAGCAUCAAAAAAUUCCUCUAUGCGUUACCCUCGGAAUGAGUUGAAGGUGGUUGAUAAUCAGAAAAAAGAUCAUCCAAAAAUUUCUUGUCUUCAAAUGAGAAGUUUGUCCAAUAAUCCACAUCAAAAUCAAUGCUUGAUAAAUUCAUGUCUGACUGGUGGUUCUGUGUUUCCUUGUGAAGGGUGGAAACCUCAUUUGGUAUUGAAUUUUCCAAACUUUGAGGUAUAGGAGAGGCAAUGUAUUGUUUGUUAGUAUCUGAAUUGAUAGGAGAAAUGUGAAGGCUGUCUUUAUAAGUAAUUUCCUUUUCAGGAUCAACCAUAACUUUGCUGUUUUGACAAUGAGAAACAACAUCCUCAUUACAUGUUGUAACAGCAGGCUGAAAAAAUUGUUUGGUUGUCUGUGUUUCAAGAAUUGAUGAGUUGGUGGAUUGUGGUUGAGUCCUUGACAAUGGGAGCGUGUUUAGAGCUGAGGGUGACGAUAAAGUAAGUGUAAAAAUUAAAUUGAUAACAUGACAAAAACAUGUAUACUCAACAGAAACAAUUAUAAUUAUACCUCGAAAUUGAUUUUUCUUCCCAGGUGGUCUGCCACGAGGUCGUUUUGCAAUUGUAGGCUCAGCUUCACUAUUUUUUCUCUUGGUAGACUGCUGCGACAGUACAUUGCAUGUGUUCUGUACAUGGGCGGUGGUAGCAGUACACACACCUAACAAAAAAGAAAACCACAAUUACUCACAAAUAAGAGUUAAAAACAAUAAACACCAUUCCAGAAUUUUGAAUUGACGAUUAAACAGGGAAAGAAGUUUUUACCAGAAGAGACAUUCAUUGGGAUUGGGCUAAGAAAGACAUUGUAAGUAUUGACAGCAUUGUGCAUGUCAUCCAACAACUUCUGAACUCUAUAUUUUUCUUGAGUGAUCGCACACAUUUCCUGAUCCAAGAUUAUCUUUUGUCUUCUCAAACAUAUAUAAUCAGCGAGAAUUUUGUCCAAAUUAUAAUCAGCGGAAGUGUUGGAUAGCUAGAAAACAGAAAUGAAAGAAUUAAAGAAGUGUGCACAGUGAGAAGGAGAAAAAGAGUUGUGGAUCGUUAAGGGAUGAAGUGAAACCUGAAUGAGUGGCGAAGCGGCGAAGAGGGAGGAGGCCUCCAUGCGGAAGGUGGCUCGUGUUUGGAAUAAGUUGUUGGCGCAGAGGUAGUCAUCUACUAUCAAUGCAACUUCAAAAGGGGAAAUAUUAAUCUUUUCCAUGGAUUCUCCCACUUUCACUGUUUCUUGCAUUACAAUCUUGUUCUUCUUCUCAGAGUCACCAAAAUAAUAACAAACUAAUAUUUUUUUAAUUUUGAUAUAAAAAUUAUAUACACAUAUGCACAACUUUAACUUUAAUUAAAUAACACUUUAUCUGCUGUUUGAAACUCUUUGGAGAAGAAGAUCAUUUGCCCAGGAAUUCUAGCUUAGCGCUCUCUGAAGGCUCGGCGAGCGCUAUCUGAAGGCUCGCACUCCUAUUUAUAGAUACUGAAAUUUUUUUAUUUUUUUAUUUUUUGAAUUUCCUUUUCACUUUUUAACAUUUUUUCCUUUUUUAACAUUUUGAUGUUAGAAACAUAUUGAAAUACAUUUUAUACAAACUUAUAAAAACCAGACCGUAUUAUAUUUAAUAUAAUAUAUUACUUUUUAAUAUUAUAAUAUUAAGGAUUUUACUAUAAUAAAAUAAUUAAUUAAAAAAUAUUAAAAUAUUAAAAAAAAUUAUUAAUUUAAGUUUGAUAUUUACACAAUAGUUUUAAAAACUGUUAAAAUAUUAUAAUCCAUUUUUCUAAUUAUUAUCUAUUUUUCUCCGCAAGUAAAAAGGGAUUUAAAGGAAAAUUGCAGUAUAAUUGAUUAUGAUUUUUUAACUGAUAUCUUAAUAUAAUAUAUUAUUUUUAAUGUCAUAAUAUUUAUAAUUUUAUUAAAAAAAUAAUUAAAAUAAAAAUCUUAAAAUAUUAAAUUAAAUAAAUAUUAUUAAUUUAAAUUUGGAUAUUUUAUACAUUAGUUUAUUUUAAUGUAUUUUUACUAAGAUGUAUAAUUUUUGUAUUUAUUAAAAUUUUAGAAUAAUAUUUUAUUCUGAUUUUAAUUCAUGUUUUUAAUAUUAAUUUAUAAAAAAUAUAAUUAUUUUUAUUUUUAUUUUUAUUUAUAUUUUCAAUAUUAAUUUUUUAUAUUAAAUUAUUUUUUAAAGAGAAUUUGUUGGCGUAGGAGUAUUGAUCCACUGUGUGAAUGCAACUUAAAACCUAUAAAAUUCUAAUUUUUGACUAUAAAUGAUAUUGUUAAUAUUAAAUUGAAUUUUUAUCUGGUUAAAUUUAUUUUGGGUUAUGGUAAUGUUACGUUGUUGUUUUUGGGUUGCAAGUAGUCAUUUUGAAUAUACUAGAUAUAUACGGGUUGUAAAUUGAUAUUGUAGUGUUAAAUUAUGUUUUAAACUGUUAAAAAUUAUUGAAUUGAUAGAAUAUAUUUUGGAUGAAUUUUGAAAGGGUUUUGAGGUACUAUAUUAUUUGAUUUUUUCUGAUAUUUUUUGUUCAAGUAAAAGUGUGAGUGAGAAAUUUUCGCUCGAGUAAGAUGUUUCUCGUUCAAUUAAAAAAUCAAGAUAAAACAUCUGUCUUUUCUAGAAAGAAUUUUAGCUCAAAUGAGAAUCUUGACGCUCAAACGAAAUCAAAGUUAGCUGGGAGAAAGUUCGGUUAGCUAAGAAAGAGUCACAUGAUGUAGAAUAUUUAUUUAUUGUACAAUUGAUGUAUUUUGGAGUUGAGUAGUAUUCAGUAUAUGUGUAUAUAGUAGAUAAGAAGAUUUAAAUAAGAUAUGUGAUGAAUGAUGUGCAACAUGUUUUAUAAACUCUAAAUAUCACUUGGUGUGUGGUUGAUGAUAUGUUGUGUAUGUUUAGAUAUACAUGAUAUUAACGCAAUCUCUUGUAAUUGUUAGUAGUUAUUAAAUAUAGCUAUUAAGAUGUGGUAUAAAUAUUAAAUUACGAGAUUGAUUAAAAUAUUUAUAUUCUAAUAAUAUUGAUUUGGUGAAGAGUUGAUGGAAGAUUUCAUACACUAAAUUAAGAGUUGAAGACCUAAAUGCUCAAUUGGAAGUGUAAAAAUUACCACCUCACUAUAUCACUUGGAAUUGUCAAAAAUAUAUCUACUAAGAGAAUAAAUUAUUGAAUUUUCUUAAAGUAUUUAUCUCUAUAUUUUAAUUUAAUAUUAGUUUUUCAAAAAAUUGUUAAUCUUUCAUUUAGACUUAGAUUAAUAAUAAUUGAUAUUAUUGAUAUAUUUAAUAAUAUUAUAUGUUUAAUAAAAAAACUACCACAUAUUUUAUUUUAUAUUGUUGUGACGUUGUUAUAGUUAUGAUUUUUUAUACCAAAUACGUAUGUAGUAAGUAAGAAAGAAAACAUUAAGCACAGUAGGAUUUAUUUAUAUGAAUAGAGUUUUAAUAAUUGUUAUAUUUCGAAGAAUAUUUGUAAUAACUUAAGUUUUACAUUAUGUUUAUAUUUGAUAGAAGUAGGUUACACUAUCGAUAUAACAAUAUUUUUUUUUUUAAAUAAAAGCUUCCAUGUUAGGUAUCACUAUGCAACUUAAGAUCUCAGCUAGGCUGACACUUCAAGUUACAACAAUCAUUUACCAUCACAUGAAAAAAAUAUUAUUGAACAAAAGAAAAAUAAAAAAAAUAAAAAAAAUACAAAAAUACGGGGGGACUAUACCAAAACCCAUAUGUUAACAAAAACGAUACAUAGGUAGACUAUACCUAUUCAUAAAGAAUUCUAAGAAUAGACAAGGUGGAAGCCUAUUAUACCAAAGAAAAGGCUCUCUAUGAAAAAAAUCCUAAAUUAGCCAACUUAUCAGCACACGCAUUUCCUUCACGAAAAAUAUGAGUAACCGUAAACCUAAUUUUCCCAUAGUAAGUAAGACAAGCAUUCCAUCGAUUACGAAGCAUCCAAGGAACAGUUGUCCUAGCAGUAAACGCAGCACAAACCAAAGCAGAAUCACAUUCCAACCAGACAUUAGUAAGCCCCAUCUUUUGAGUUUCCUCCAUAGCAUGUAUAACCCCAUAAAACUCAGCAACCAGAGCAGUCUGAACUUCAAGAAAUGCAGAAAAAGCUCCAAUAAAUUCCCCCAUACUCCCACGAAAAAUACCUCCGCAAGUAGCAAGAUCAGGAUACCCUCUAGCAGCCCCAUCAGUGUUAAUUUUUACCCAGCCUGGUGAAGGAAACUCCCAUCUAACAGGAAGAGGACGUAAAACUUUACCAGUACGAGUGUUAAUACCAAAAAACUUGAGCACAUUGAAAUCGAACAUAUCANNNNNNNNNNNNNNNNNNNNNNNNNNNNNNNNNNNNNNNNNNNNNNNNNNNNNNNNNNNNNNNNNNNNNNNNNNNNNNNNNNNNNNNNNNNNNNNNNNNNAAACGAGCAUAAUUCGUCAUACGCCAUAUCAUCCAAAUAGAAAAAGUUAUCACAGCUAGCUUAAUCAAUUUAACCAACGAACUACCAUCACUCUUAAUAAAAGAAAGAAAAUCAUCCUUAUUAGAGAAAUGAUAAGUAGGAAAAAUGUGUUGAACCCAACUCCAAAUACGCAAAGCAUUAGCACAUUCAAAAAAUAAAUGUUGAAUAGAUUCCUCGUGUUUUUCACAAAGCGUACACAUAGAACAAAUAUGCAAACCUUUAUUUUGAAUAUGUUGAUCUGUAGGAAGCCGCCCAUGAAAAACUUUCCAAAGGACAAGAGUUUUGGAAGGCGAAAUAUAUGAAGACCAAAUAAAUUUACCCCAACCACAGGAAACCCCUGGAUCCAAGAAAAAAGUCCUAGCUGAUUUAAGAGUGAGACGACCAGACUCAUCUAGAAUCCAAUUAGGAAUAUCCUGUACUGUCCUAACCCUGAUAUGACGAAAAAGAUGAGGCAUAUGCUGUAAAGACAAUGGAAUAUUCCAAUCAGCACCUGUCCAAAACUGAGAGACUGUAUCCGAACUACUAGCACCAUCAGAUAAUCCUGCAAUAUUUGCUAAAGAAAUAGUAGCACACCAUUUAUCAUUCCAAAAAUUAAUAAGAGAACCUGUACCAACAGUCCAAGAAGUAUAAUCAAGUAUAGUAGAAUAAAACUGCUUAAUUCCUGGCCAAAGAGAUGACGAUCUAUAAACCAUUCGAAACUCGUAUUUUGAUUUAAGGACCCUGGCUUUCAAGAGCAAAGACCAAGGCUUGUUGCUAUAAGCAAAGUUCCAAGCAAGCUUAAGAAGAUAUGCAUUAUUUUCAUGGUGAAGGUUAAUAAUUUUCAAACCUCCAUUCUCAAGGGGAGAACAAAUCGUAUCCCAAUUAACAGUAGCUAUACCUUUUUUCAAAAUAUCACCAGUCCAAAUAAAAUUUCGACACCACUGCUCAACUUGCUUAAGAAGAGAAACAGGCCAUUUAUACANNNNNNNNNNNNNNNNNNNNNNNNNNNNNNNNNNNNNNNNNNNNNNNNNNNNNNNNNNNNNNNNNNNNNNNNNNNNNNNNNNNNNNNNNNNNNNNNNNNNCUAGAAGACCCGUAAUCACCGUAUUGACCAACUGAACACGACCCAUCAUGUUAAGAGAUUUACCUUUCCAAGAAGCUAACUUCAAUUUGACUUUAUCAGCCAAAGGUUGAAGAAAACGACCCCUUGGAGCACCAACAAAGAUAGGCACUCCUAAAUAAGUGAAAGGCAAACAACCAGGACUACAUGAAAGAAUACGCUGAAUUUUGGUGAUAAACCUUGUAGAAUUAUCCAUGGUGAAAAAACUACUCUUAGAAUUAUUAACAUAUUGGCUAGAGAAAUCACCAUAUGUUUUAAGAAAAUUACUCAAAUUUCUAAGAGACUUAUUAUCCGCCCUACAAAAAAUGAAAAUGUCAUCCGCAUAUAAAAUAUGAGAGGGAGUGAGAAAACCUUGUGGACUAGCCAUAUGUAGAAUCUUCUUAUCAUUCACAAGCUUUGAGAGACCUCUACUAAGAACUUCCUCUGCAAGACAAAAAAGUAUAGGAGACAAAGGAUCACCUUGUCUAACACCUCUACUACAAGGAAAAAAACCCACCAAACUACCAUUUAUUCUGAUAGAAAGCAUAGCUGAACGGAGAAUAGUACUAAUCCAACCGACAAACGAGGAGUGAAAACCAAAGCGUGACAAAACUAAUAGUAAAAACUUCCAACUUAGAGUGUCAAAGGCUUUGUGAAUAUCAACUUUGUAAGCCACAUUGCCUCCGUGAACCUUUUUAGAAAGCAAGUUAAUAGCUUCAGAGGCAAUACUAAUACAAUCUUGAAUCUGUCUGCCCUGCACAAACCCAUACUGAUUAGGAGAAAUAAUUCCGGCAGCCACAAGAGCAAGCCGAUCUGCCAAAAUCUUGGAAAUAAUCUUAAAUUUAAAAUUAGCAACAGCAAUCGGCCUGAAAUCUUUAAUAGAUUCAGCACCCCGAAUCUUUAAGAGAUACCACAUUACUGUUCAUUUCAGGGAGAACCCAGUUUUGUUUAAANNNNNNNNNNNNNNNNNNNNNNNNNNNNNNNNNNNNNNNNNNNNNNNNNNNNNNNNNNNNNNNNNNNNNNNNNNNNNNNNNNNNNNNNNNNNNNNNNNNNNNNNNNNNNNNNNNNNNNNNNNNNNNNNNNNNNNNNNNNNNNNNNNNNNNNNNNNNNNNNNNNNNNNNNNNNNNNNNNNNNNNNNNNNNNNNNNNNNNNNNNNNNNNNNNNNNNNNNNNNNNNNNNNNNNNNNNNNNNNNAGACUCAGCAUAAAGAGUUUUAUAAAAAUCCAAAAUAUGUUCCUCAAUGAGUGUAGGAUCCUCAGUAACAACAUUAUCAAUUCGUAGACGAUGAAUUCCACUAUAAUUAUUCCUCCUCUUGACCACAGCAUGGAAAAAAGCAGUAUUUCUAUCCCCAUCUUUAAACCAAAGCAUUUUAGCCCUUUCUUUCCAAAACAAAUAUUGACAGUGAAGAGCAUGAUCAAGCUCCUCCUUAGCGAUCCUUUCUUGAUAGAGAAGCCCAUCAAUAUCAGACAUACUAGCAGUCUCUAAGGUUUGUUGAAUACCAAGGAGAAGACCCUGUUUAAGAAGAACUGCAUUGUGAACAUUGCCAAAAGAAUUUUUAUUCCAGUCACGUAGCUCAACUUUCAACCUUUUUAACUUAUGAUGUAAAAUAAACAUAGGACAACCAACAACCUUAUUAGCCCAAGAAUCAUGAAUAAGCUUCAUACAUGAAGCGUCUUGAAGCCACAUAGAAAAGAAACGAAAAUUGCUAACCUUCCUCAAAGAAUUACUAGCAAGACUAGUAAGAAUAGGGGAAUGAUCUGAACAAUUUUUAACAAGAACCUGAUAAGUACAAGAAUCCCAUUCAUCCAAACACACUCCGUUACAUAACGCCCUAUCCAAUCUUCUAUGAAUUCUAUGGAGCCCUCUCCUUCCAUUACACCAAGUAUAGCAAGUUCUAGUAAAAGGCAUACAAGAAAGGUCAUUAGUAUUAAUCCAAUCAAGGAAUUCAUUACAAGAAACUUGAUUAGGAGUCACCCCUCCUUUACAGUCAUCCGUCGAGAGCACAGCAUUAAAAUCACCCAUAAUACACCAAGGCCCUAUGAAGGAACUAAGAUCCCUCCACAAAACCCGUCUAGCCACGUAUGUGGUAGCACCAUAAACACCUGCAAAACUAAAACAUUUAUCAUGCAAAUGACAAGUUACAGAAAUAAAUUGUUCAUUUACCAAGAAAUUCCGGACCAAAUUAGGAACCGACAAGCACCAAAGCUUAGCGGCUUUAUUAACAAUAGGAGACGUAGCCACCAAAUGCAUAUUAACAGAUUUGAAAAUAACUUCAAAAGCAUUAGUGUACGACACCAUAGGUUCAGCAAGAAAAACCAAAAGAGGUUUAUGUAGUUUGAGUAAACUAAUCAACAUCUCCACAGUUUUGUGGUUUCCCAAUCCUCUAACAUUCCAGAAAAAUGAAGAGACUUUCAUUGCGACGUUGUGGAGAGAACUGCCUUAGCAGUUUUUUUGGAUUUACCAUUCUUCUUAGGUGGUCUCCCUGGUUUUCUUUUAGUGCAAACUAUUUCCUCUCCAGUAUCACUGUCAUCCUCCUCCAUCUCGUUGGGAUCAGCCCAAAAUUUUGAAAGAACAUUUGUAUUUUCCAAACCAUCAAGAGAGGAAAAGUGAUUUUGCAUGUCCAACGAUAGUGCUUUAACAUCCGCAGAAGAUUUAGCCUUCUGAGGUUCAACAAUGGCAGUAGACGUACCAAUAUAAGGAUCACCUCCCACAUCUGUAGUGUCUAAACCAUCAAGAGAGGAGAAGUGAUUUUUUAGCACCAACGACGGGGAUGGUACAGUCACAAUAGCAGAGACCUCCUCAUGAUGACCACAAUAUAUAACAAUAUAUUUAUCAUCAUAAUAAUAGUAAUAAUAAUAAUUACAUUAGAUAAUGAAAAUAAUUAUAUAAUAUGAUUAUAUUGAUAAUAAUAAUCCAUCAAUGAUAUAAUAAGUGGAAUAUUUUAGAAUAUGAUGGUUGAAAUCUUUUAAAAAUGUAAGUUUUGGUAGGUGAAUAUUUAAAAUAAUGUACUUUUAUACAAUAUUCUGGUUUAAAGUCUGAAGUGUUUUAAUCUAAGUGUUGAUUAAGUUGUCUUAAUUUUUUGUGUCAAAUUUUAUAAGAAUGAACAAUAAAAUAAUAAUAAUAGUAAUAAUUCAUAUUAGGUUAGUUUUGGUGAAUGUUAAGGAUAAUAUAAAUUUUGAUAAACAUUAUAUUAUAUAAGUUAAAGAAACUUUCAAUUUUCGGGUAACUUUUAAAAAUAAAUUUUUAAUUAAUAUAAUAAUGGGUAUGCAUUAUAUAUGGAUUAGUGUAUGAUAUAAUACUUUAUUUAUAAAAAUUGUUUUUAUUAUUAAUUUAUCUUUCCUUCGAACAAUAAAACAAUAGUUUUUAACACAAAUAAUAUUUUUUUUAAAACAAGGAUAGUAUAGAUUAAAAUAUCUGUUGAUCUAAAAUCAAGAAUUAAUAAAAAAUAAAAUAAUACAUUUUUGUUAUCAUUUAAUCAUCAAUCAUUACUAUAUUUUAUUCUUUAUAACAUAUUCUUUUAUUUCAGAGAAGUAAAAUCUUCCACUUAAUGAUUUUUAUCUCUUCUCUUAUUAAAUAACAUAAUAUAUAUAUAUAUAUAUGAAAACAAUCAUACGUUAUUAAUAUGCUAGUUGUACUAAACUGUUAAUUUAUAGCAAAAAAUAAUUAAUGAUCUCUUCUAAUUAUGUAUCAUAUUAAGGGCAACGUGUUUAGGUCAAAAUGUAAAUUAAUGAACAUAAUGUAACUAAGCAAGUACUACCAUAAAAAAG
RNAcentral lists this long non-coding RNA (43355 nucleotides) under Phaseolus vulgaris (common bean). Its description in RNAcentral is "long non-coding RNA (PVUL_LNC001456)". Lineage: Eukaryota; Viridiplantae; Streptophyta; Magnoliopsida; Fabales; Fabaceae. The record is from RNAcentral.